This is a non-coding RNA of Acanthosepion pharaonis, 100 nucleotides long. The record is from the annotation of a GenBank genome assembly. NCBI's taxonomy places the organism in Eukaryota, Metazoa, Mollusca, Cephalopoda, Sepiida, Sepiidae.
CAUUGAAACACCGGUUUCUGUACAAUCACCGAAGCUGAGCAACGUCGAGCCCGGUCAGUACCAAGAUGGGUGACCGCUUGGGAAUACCAGGUGCUGUAAG